UGUAUCUCUGUGAUCUCCCCAGCCACCCCUGCCCCACUGCUCCUCGCUGUUCCUGCUUCAUGUACGUUGCCUGUCCCUCGGCAUCUCUGCGCUGGCUGUUCCCCACCUGGAGCAUCCUUGUCGCUCCGCCCCCUAUGCCUGUGGCCCAUUCCUGCCUCCUCCAGGUCUUGACUCAAAUGUCAGUUUCUCAGCAAAGCCUUCCCUGGACACCCUCCUCACUCCGUUCCCUGUUUUUUUCUGCUUUGAACUCACCACCAUCUAACACUACAGAUUCUGGGUUUAUUGAGGGGAAGUGACGUUUAAGCAUCCCUGCCUUUCUGUUGAGGGAUGCCCGCCCUCCUCCCCUUUUCAGGAUUCAGCGCAGCUUCUUUCUGGGUUUCCAAAGCCCACAGCUCACGCCUCUACUUGCUGCAGGGAGCCCUGCCCACCCCAUAGGAAGGUACACCAGCAGCCUGGAAACCAGACCAACAGCUCAGGGCCUUCCCACCUCCCAGACUAGCCUAGAAGCUGCUCGAAGGCAGGUCCUGGGUCUCAUCCGACAGUAUUUCCAGGAGCCAGCACUAGCUUAAAGGCUCAAGAGAGGACCGCUAUAACCAAGGGUGGAACACGCAACUGCCACAGGCCCUGAUAGCGACCAUCGGAGGAUGGUGACUUCAGUUAACAGAGGUAUGGCAGCGAGAAAUCGCAAGAACCAAUUCCCUUGUCUUCUGCAACUGUCGGCCUUGCUUCUGCGGUGCAGCCAGAAAAUGGAGACCCCCAGCCACUGCUGUUCCCCAGCAAAAGGCAGGUUCUUGCUGUCCCCUGGCCAGGGCCCCUGAGCUACCUGAUACCACCCCUUUGAUUGGCAGGGCGCACGAGUUUUAUGGCAAGACUGGAAGUCGACUGUAAUUAAGACCUCUAUAAAAUAUUUAGACCACUGUGCCCAGAUAUAUUAAUGAUUAUACAUUUAAAUGUUAAUGAAUGUAAUUAGAUGAAAGAUUAGCCAAGCCUGUCACUAAAUAUACAUUCAGGACCGAUAAAC
Long non-coding RNA from Aethalodelphis obliquidens (Pacific white-sided dolphin), 1021 nucleotides. RefSeq lists it as uncharacterized. The record is from RefSeq and is a predicted model, not a curated record. The transcript is spliced from 3 exons. NCBI's taxonomy places the organism in Eukaryota, Metazoa, Chordata, Mammalia, Artiodactyla, Delphinidae.